UUUUACUUUAAAGCUGGUCGUCCAUUUUGAAUUAAUUCUUGUAUGUUGUGUGAGACUUGGGUUCAAAGGUCUUUCCCCCUCCUUUCGCUACCCACUUACCACAGCAUCCUUGUUAAAAAGGCUGUGAUUUCCGCCAUUGAAUGCCUUCUGCAUCUUAUCAGAAGUCAGCGGGGCGUACGGGAGAGUGAGCCUAUGCCUGGAUUCUCUGUUCUGUUCCACUGACCUGCAUGUUGUCUUCUUCCUGCCCUCCAGGGGCGAUGCAGCAUCGCACAGUCUUGAUUCAUGGUAACUGUCCUACACGUUUUGAAAGCAGGUGGAUGAAUUCGUCCAGCUUUACUCUUUUUUUUUCCCCCGUAAUUGUUUUGCUAUUAUAGUAGCUUUGCCUAUACAUAUAAUGUUAGAAUUUGAGAAUACUCUUGUCUAGAGCUACAAAAAACCUUGCUGGGACUUUAAUGGGAGUUGUGUUAGACCUAUGUGUCAAUCUGGGAGAACUGACAUUUUUGCUGUGUCGGAUCUUCCCAUCAUGACCAUACUUCUCUCCAUUUAUUUAGAUGUUCUUUGAUUUCUCUUGUCUGUGCUGUGAAGUUUCCAGCCUACAAGCCCUGAACAUGCAUUGUUAGAUUCUACCUAAACAUGUUAUGCUUUGAAUGACUGUAAAGAGCACUGUAUAUUUAGCUUUGAUGUUCCUGUGUUCCUUGCAAGUACAAGAAAUACAACAUUUACACACAAGUCCGUUGUAUCUUGUGAUUGGCGAGCUCACUAUUCGCUCUAAGAGUUUUUGGUAGUUUCCUUGUGAUUUCCUAUGUAGGCAAUCAUGCCAUCUGCAGGUAGGGACCAUUUUAUUCCUUCUUUUCUUAUGUGUAAGCUUCUAACUCAUUUUCUUGUGUAAAAUUGGUGUUCAUUCUUCUUUAAAUACUUGGUAUCAUUUUCACGUGAAACCACCUGUGCCUAGAGAUUUCUUUUUUCCAGGAGUUCUUGGGUGACGAAUUCGAUUUCCUCAGUAGUCACAGGAUUAGUCAUGUGAUCUAUUGCAUAGUGGGUGAGUUGCGGUAAUUUGUGUUUUUAGAUGAAAGGAAACAAUUUCUUAAAGUUGUCCAGUGUCUGUGUGUACAGUUGUCCCUCAUAGCCCUGUAUUAAUCCUUUUCACCCCCCGUUUCAUUCCUGACACUGUCUCUGUUUUUCCCUUGCCCAUCUUGCUGGAAGUUUGUCAAUUUUCUCAGUCUUUUUGAAGAACCAGCCCUUUCUUCUGUUGGCUUUCCAUGUUGGUUUUCUUUUUUUCUUUCAUUGAUUUCUGGUCUGUGGUGUCUCCUUCCUCUGCUUUCACUCCUGGUUUAUUUUGCUCUUCUUUUUCUAGGUUCUUGAGCUGGAAACUUAGAUUAUUGACUGGAGACUUUUGCAUUUGGCGCUAGGUUUGUAGGCUCCUCUCUCCAUCCCUGAUGUCCAGAAAGCUCCCGGUGUGACUAGGCGUUCCUCACUUGCUAUACUUGGCACUGUUCUGAAGAGCUCUACCACAUGUUCACUGAUGUAGUCCCUCACCCAGGAGGUGGGUGUUGUGAGUGACCUGACGUUGCUGGUCCAGGUCCCACUGCUGGGAUUUGAACCCAGGCCUUUGGCUGCAGAGCCCACGAUGUCUAGGGAGUGGCUGCUUCCCUCCAGGACCGGCUGGUCCUGAGCGGCCCUGUCACACUCGGGUGAGGCCCGGCCCCUGGCCGGAAGCUCUGUGUGCGGGGAGGUGGGGGUCUGCUCGUCGACUUGCUGGCCUCCACGUGGCGUUGGGAAGGGGUCCUGCAGGGGCUCUUCAGCGUUGCUGUCUGUAGGUUUCUCCUUUGUGAUGACGAGGUUCCUAAGGAGAAACCCUGGAAGAGGACGGGUCAGCCUGGUGAAGACUGGCUCCAGCGUGGAGAGCUGAGUGGAGAGAUGCAAUAUGUAGAUCUUCUCUUAAUCUCCUUGUUUCCACUGUGGCCCCUGUUCUUGCCUUGAGCUGUGGUUGGCAUUCAUGAGUUCAGGGACUUUCUGGUUCAGCUGCUCCCUGGAAGGUACUUGCCAUUUUCUGCCGCAUGACAGGGAGGAAUGUGGGCAAUCUAAGUGUUUCUUACAGACUUUCAACCCACCGUCCUGUUUUCCAGGCGUCCUCCACAGCCCGCCCUUCAGAGAGGCCUGGUACCCUGCACGGAGGCUUCCGGGUUUACGAGGCAUGGGGCGCACCCUCCCCCUCCCGCCGGUGCCCUCCCUGUGGGCAGCCUGCUUUCCGUUUCUCUGCCCUCCGACGGUUAGUUAUCCUUGGACGUCACUCUUCCUGCUUCCACCGUGUGUUGACAUUUUCGUCUUCUGUGAUGUUUCUUCUCUGCCCCUGUGGGUUUCUACAUUAAAAAAAUUAUAAUUCGAUUGGAGUUUUGGGGAGGAACUGAUAUAAAUGCAUGUUUAUCUGCCAUGUUUACUACUUUUAAAAGAAGGAAACACUUCAUCCUUAACAACAGCUCCAACCUAAGCAUGGAAACGAAGAUGUCUUGAAAAAUAAGGCACAGAAAUGACAGGUUUUCAGGAACAACACAGUGCCUGGCGUGUGGUAGCAAGUCAUGUGUCAUCUUUAUGAGGAAGGCAUCACCCCACAUGAGAGAAGAGUGAAAAGAGGCUGAGGACUGAUUCUGAUCUGGGAGAAAUAAAAGCUGAGGCAGGUGUGGAUUAGGGAAUUUGGCUUCUUCAAGGUUUUGCAUUUUCCAGCAGGACCCCUGGGAACCUGUUUCUAGUAGGGGAUAUAAUUGACAUCUGGAGUCCUAUUUGCAUGUGAGGUCAGUUUUUAGAUGCUGGAGAUAUUUAAACAUAUGUUCAGUCCAGAGGCACCUGGAGGGAACAGCAGCUUUCUGUGUUUGGAAAGGAUGUGGAGAAAGACAGCUUCAUGAUGCGGGGUGGCAUCAUGCCAGGGCAUCACCCUGGCACUUUUCGCCAGUUCAGCCUCCAUUUCUCCUCCUUUGCCCUCUGACAAUAUCUGGAUGCUCACAUGGGUGGUUUCAUUAGGGCAAGUUGAAUCUGUUGUUUGCAUUCUGAUUAGUCGCUGAUGGGGACCCAGGCUUGGCCCGUUGUCUGAGAUGCCCUUGUUUGAGACUUUGAAUCCUGAGAGAGUGACGAAACAUUGGGGAAAAUGGGUGGCAGUCACGCGUCUCAGCUGCUGUUCCCUAACCAGAUGCUGGCACCUUGAGAAGGCUCUCCUGGUUCUUGUUUCCAAGCUCCGGGAGAUGUCUUAGAUGUUCUUGUACCAGUUAGAGUUUGGGUGGCAGCUACAGUACUGACUGUGGCUUUCUUAAGUAAGAGUGAGGUCUCUCUCGGAAGGAUACGGAAACUAGACGUUGGUGGGAGGCUGGAGAACCAGAUUCGGAACCUGGGCACGGAUCAAGGCUGUUCUGGAGGGUUAAGAAAGAGGUAGUGUGAAAAUAAUAUUUCAGCGGAAAUAGUCCACCAGGACAAAUCGGCAGCUGCUGAGUGAGGCAUGCUGCCCGGCCCCCACGGCUUCCCUGCAAUUACUCCUAACUGUCCCUUUGUCUCUGUUCCUCUCUCCAGAUUCAGAGUCUCAGACGGGAGGGUGGGGAUUGCCAACCCCGAGUCACAUGUCUGCCCGCUGAUUGCCCGGAGCUGGGCAAGAAGAGGGAAGACCCUUCCCUGGCCUUUUGGCCUCUGUAGUUAAAGGUGAGGCAACUCACGCCACACCUGACGGCACUGCCCCAGAAUAAGAAAGCACAUUGGAUUCUAGGCAGCCAAAGCGGGGUGAGCCCACCUUGCUGCUGGGUUCCACUCUAGGUCUCCCCACCUUUGUAUGGAUUCUGCAAACUCCUAAGUUCUUUCUAAUAAAUCCUCUCUGUUGACCAACCAGAAUCCUGCAUCUUGGACUUAAAGGUCCCUAACUGAAGUAUGUCUCAUCGCUCCCACGUGAACUCUGUUGAGUGCAUCCUUGAAGUUUGAGAAUCUUGAAGUCUGGACUCCCAGUUUGCUCUUGUCCCAUUGGCUUGGUUGUAUAGGGAAAUAAAUAACACGCUUGUCUCUGGCUGACAGCAGUUUAACAAGGAUGCCCCUGAGGAACAUCUUCCACCUUCUUGGCCCAAGAGCCAGCUGUUCACACUGAGGUCAGAUCCCUGGCGCGUAGAUGUGGGGCCGUGGAGUGAGUCCUCGUGGCCAGUCCCUUCGAGUUUGGUCCACUUAAGCUUGAGUACUCUUCUUCAAAGAGCUCAUUGUUGCAGGGGUCGGUGGGGGGAGGCAAUUUCACAUGACAAUGAGCAUGACACCACUUUGCCCGAGGUGGGCACACCUUGCUUCCCCGCACUUCACUCUGCCCCGCUUUGCAGGUACUGAAGGUUUUUUUUACAAAAUGAAGGUUUGUGGCAAUGUGCGUCAAGCAGGUCUUUUCCCAGUAGCAUUUGCUCACUUUGUGACUCUGGGUCACAUUUCAGUAAUUCUCGCAGUAUUUCCUACCCCUCCGCCCCAUAAAAAGAUUAUGACUCACUGAAGGAUCAGGUGAUGGUUAGCAUUUUUUCUAGCAGUAAAUUACGUUUUAGUUACGAUCUAUACAUUAUACCACUUAUUAUUUAUAACUAAGAUGAUUGAUUUCUUGAAUAUGUGCAAGCACAUUUGACUGUCCUUUAUGACUGUGUUACCACAUUCUGUUGAUUC
Non-coding RNA from Vicugna pacos (alpaca), 4659 nucleotides. Lineage: Eukaryota; Metazoa; Chordata; Mammalia; Artiodactyla; Camelidae. The record is from RefSeq and is a predicted model, not a curated record.